CAGGGCUGGGGAAGCUGGGUGGGGCAGGGGUGUGGCGGCGAAGGGCUGGGAGGAGCAGAGUCAGGGUCAGACAGUGUGGAGGAGGGAGCCAGCCCUGAGAAAUGGCAACGGAGAAGGAGAAGAUAGAGCCCAGAUGAGAUACUUUGAGGAAACAGAAUCUGCAGAGCUCAGAAAGAAUUGGCUGUGGAAGCAAAGUAAAUGGGAGAUAUCCGAGGGUCCUUUUCUGCCAGGGAGACGUCAGGUGGAGAACCCUUCACUGUGUCCCCAAGCCUCAUCUGUCACCUUCUCCAGCUCCAUCUGGGCUUCCGGAGAGAGGGCUGCAUGAUCGAAACAGUGCAGGUGGCUGGAUUUGGCUGAGAUGCUCAGUGCAGUGUCUGCUGGGAAACAAUUCUCUGAUACCUGCUCAUCCGCCUGCUUUCCCACGAAAGAAGCCAUUGUCCACAGCCUGCUAAUAUCAAGCGAACACCAGG
This 470-nucleotide long non-coding RNA is filed under the name Vulpes vulpes (red fox). RNAcentral's name for it is "lncRNA (ENSVVUG00000029024.1)". The record is from RNAcentral. Lineage: Eukaryota; Metazoa; Chordata; Mammalia; Carnivora; Canidae.